CUGGGGUUGCUGAUAGCCAUUCUACCUCCACAUGGAACUAGAAAAUAAACCACCACAGAAAAAGCAGAAAUGCACAAUGAACUAGGUCGUGUCCCAAUGACGUCGUUUGACCCCUGACUCCAGCCUGACCUGGACUUUUCAAUUCCUUGAACUAAUACAUUCCCUCUUCUUGCUGAAGUCACGCUGGCAUGCAGUGGUGCAAUCAUAGCUCACUGUAACCUUGAACUCCUGGGCUCAAGUGAUCUUCCUGCUUCAACUUUCCGAGUAGCUGGGACUACAGGCAUGCACCACCAUGCACAGCCCUUUAGGUACGGUGCUGAGUACCCAUGAACCUUAUCUCUGAUCACCACUGCAACUCACUCUUAUGGCAUGGAUCAGCAAGCAGGGCUCAGAGAAGAGCCAAAUCAAUGGUACUCAUGCUACGAACAGGAGCUAUGGUAUUUUUACCAAAUCUGGAGACAGUGAUCUUCACUUUGAAAAACAGGUUCUGAGAAGCCCCUCAGAAGUGAGAAAGGCUGUAACCUAACCUCGAAAUUUAUUAGCAGAAGCAGGUAAGGACACUAACAGACACACAGGAGAGGCUUAGUAAUUUGCUGUGGUGGCCAGACUCCACGAUGGUCCUGAUCACUCACUCUGGCAGAAACCAUGUUAUAAUCAGCGCUGUGAAAUGGCUCAUGAGUCUGUGAGCAGCCACGUUGUGAGCAGUCCUAAGGAAAGGCCCAAAUAGCAAGAAAUGGAAACUUCCUGACAACAGCCAGUUAUUGAGAGAGAAUCUCUGGACCCUUUCGUGCAGUUAUUGAGAGAGAAUCUCUGGACCCUUUCGUGCCCCUAAAAUUAAAUCCCCUGACUCCAGGCUAAAAAAUAUGGCAAUAACUUUGUUUGGGGCCAGGGUGGUCCCUUAAUCCUGAGGCAUUUGUGAUUCCUUCCCCCCUAUCAACCCAGCAUCCCUCACCCUUCUACCACUGGAAACAUAAUGACUUAAGAAGCUCAAUUUGGUCUCAUGAGCAGCCUUCAAGCAAACCUUUUGCUGGGAAGGUCGUUAUGGAGAAAAGCAAGGGUUUCAGAAAUGAAAUAAAUUGUUCUAUCAAUAAGC
This 1093-nucleotide long non-coding RNA is filed under the name Homo sapiens (human). RNAcentral's name for it is "HSALNT0382741". The record is from RNAcentral. Lineage: Eukaryota; Metazoa; Chordata; Mammalia; Primates; Hominidae.